Long non-coding RNA from Anolis carolinensis (green anole), 688 nucleotides. RefSeq lists it as uncharacterized. The record is from RefSeq and is a predicted model, not a curated record. Lineage: Eukaryota; Metazoa; Chordata; Lepidosauria; Squamata; Anolidae. The transcript has 2 exons.
AAAGCCUUCGACAAUACAUUACAUCAUCAUCAUCUGCAUCAACAUUACCUUCAUCUGAAUUGAGAACCAUGUGGAUCCGAACCCAUGUCCGGAGAAAGCAGAAAUAGCAGCGGAGGGGUGAGGACUCGUUGCCUUUACUGCUGCGGCUGCGGCUGCUGCUGCUCUGGAGUCGGUUGCAGCAACAACAACAACCACCAAAAAACAAACCAGUCGGUAAUGCAAUGCAAGGAAUGAGGACACACCGCUUUGGAAAGCAAUUUGGCGGCCGGUUUGCAAUGGCCCCGAGGAAGCAAUUCCGAUGCGAUCGGGCCCUCCCCAUCCAAAGAGAGCCAGAUGGAGGCAAUUUGCAUUGAUUUAAAAUAACUGGGAGCACGAGCCACAGUUUGAAGGCAAUGACAAAAUCGUUGGCGUUCCUGUUAUGCACAGAGAGAUCGAGAGAGCUUUCAUGACCAUUGAACUGCCUUUGAGGACCUGGACAAUCCCUCUCCAAUGAGAUCCUAUGGCAAUGAUGGGCAACCUUUUGCACUUGGUGUGUCAAAAUUCACCAAAAAACCUAGCAUGACUUGGGUGGUGUGUCACUUUGAGAAAAAAACCCAUAAUUUCACAAUAUAUAUAGUUUAAAUAACAAAAAUAUAUAAUUGUAAUAUAUAACUGUAUUCAAUAAAUCAAAAACUAUUUACUACCAUUA